This is an RNA transcript of Nerophis ophidion (straightnose pipefish), 1392 nucleotides long. It is a transcript of the gene named family with sequence similarity 228 member A, with no coding region annotated. Lineage: Eukaryota; Metazoa; Chordata; Actinopteri; Syngnathiformes; Syngnathidae. The record is from RefSeq and is a predicted model, not a curated record. The transcript is spliced from 10 exons.
UCGUGCGACGUCGUCAUGGCAACGGGCCGCGCGCGCGCUCAUUACCCGCCCCGUACACCUGCGCGAGUACAAACUUCAUUUCUUACUUUCUCCCUCAAACAAUUCCACAUAAGUCCUCAAGUCCUGACAGUUUCAAGGACAUUUUCAAACAUGUCACGUCUUCAGUUUGUAGGGUUCGAAACUCGGUCGACUGAGACAUGAGGCCAAAGAGGAGCAAUGGCGGCGUAAUCACUUACCACAUACCGUUUAAUAUCAGACUUGUAACAUCCGAGGUGCAUGUCUUUGGAGGUGGGAGGAAGCCGGACAACCCGGAGGGAACCCACCCACGCAGUCACGGGGAGGACCUGCAAACUCCACACAGAAAGAUCCAGAGCCCAUACGAAACGGGAAAAAAUAUAAAAUUGCAUAUCUUGUACAUUUAAAGGUGCCAUAUGUAGUAGUAAUGUGGCCAGAAACUACUGCAAUCACUGUCAAAUUUUUGUAUUCCCCUCCCACUCUCCAUGACUGAGGUUGCCAGAUACGCAGCUGAAUCCGAAUCCUACUCCUCGGAACUUCAAAUGGCAGUCGAGUCCUACGCUGCACCAGAGUUAAAGUGUGCAAGGUCAGAGGUGAGAUUGAGCGCACCAGUGAAGAAGAAGAAGAAGAGUUGUGGGUGUGCAAAACAAGGCAAAAGAGAAGACAAGUCAGCAGUACAGAGUUCCAGGCCACGGCGAGGCCUGCUGCCCUCUCACACCCCCACCAGGCGAAUACAGGUAAAAAUGGAGGCUGACAGCAGAGAGAUUGCUGAUUUAGUUCAACCUUUACUGGACACAGACAAGGAGUUGGAGAGAUUCCUGUCCAAGUAUGAAGAAGCUAAGGUGCUGAGGAGGGAACGCAUGCGUAAGUGUUGGAACGAGGAUAUAUGGGCGUCCUCCCGGAAGAAAAUGGACCAGCACAUGUCCACAUGCAACCCGCUGGAGACAAACAUGCGCCAGAACUUGUACGACCAAUACCUCCAACACGGAAACACCAAGGGCUUUGUGUUUCUUGACACGUGUGACCUGAAGCAGUACAAUCCUUAUCUUCUCCACGGCGACAAGCCACACAAGUGCAAGCACAAUGUAGCCAAGCUAAAGGAGACCAAAUUAAUGGAUAGCUCCAAGCUGAAGAACACAGCUCGCUGUGAAGCAGUUUGUGUGAUGUAGGAUGCCAGCACAAGUGGGUUCCUCAAAGCGAACACAUCCCACCUGAGGCCACCAUGCAAUCAUUUGACACCACUGAAAGCCACGCUGUUGACAAGAUUUGCAGAACCAAAAUACCUUUCCACAUCCAUGACACCGCCAUACCGGAUGGAAGAUGCCAUCACAGCACCUGCUGGUUCACUACGCAACAAUAAAGUUAAUUUUUCAUCAA